RNAcentral lists this ribosomal RNA (1735 nucleotides) under Poterioochromonas sp. RNAcentral describes it as "partial large subunit ribosomal RNA". It matches the Rfam family "Eukaryotic large subunit ribosomal RNA", at positions 82 to 1898 of the family's 3401-position model. The record is from RNAcentral. Lineage: Eukaryota; Synurophyceae; Ochromonadales; Ochromonadaceae.
AGUAACGGCGAGUGAAGCGGGAAGAGCUCAGACUGAAAACCUUCGGGGAUGUAGUCUGGAGAUGGGAUAUCGAAUCUCAGGAAGCCGAUAAAGUGGUCUGGAACGACACGCCGUGGAGGGUGACAGCCCCGUUCGUAUCGGUGGAAAGAGAAAGUAGAUACCUAUCAACGAGUCGAGUUGUUUGGGAUUGCAGCUCAAAGCGGGUGGUAAAUUCCAUCUAAAGCUAAAUAUGGAUAGGAGACCGAUAGCAAACAAGUACCGUGAGGGAAAGAUGAAAAGCACUUUGAAAAGAGAGUGAAAUAGUACCUGAAAUUGCUGAAAAGGAACCGCUGGGAAGCAGUGUGCGGGCCGUAGAGUCUCUCUACGGCAUGCAGGUGAGGCUUGCUUCGAUGGUGAGGGAAAAGGCGUGCUUGCACUGUCCUACCAAUCCUCGGAGUGACUCUCACGAAAUGCUUCUCAUCAACCCGUCUUGAAACACGGACCAAGGAGUCUAACAUGUGUGCAAGUGUUCGGGAGUCAAGUCCCAAGCGCGAAAUUAACGUAAAGGUGGGUUUCGGCCCGCUGAGGUAGGAAGCUUCGGCUGCACUAUCGACCGACCAUGAUCCUUCGAGUGAAAGGUUUGAGUGUGAGCAUACAUGUUGGGACCCGAAAGAUGGUGAACUAUGCUUGAGUAGGACGAAGCCAGGGGAAACUCUGGUGGAGGUCCGUAGCGAUUCUAACGUGCAAAUUGAUCGUCGAACUUGAGUAUAGGGGCGAAAGACUAAUCGAACCAUCUAGUAGCUGGUUCCUCCCGAAAUUUCCCUUAGGAUAGCUGCAACCGAACAGUUUUAUCAGGUAAAGCGAAUGAUUAGAGGCCUCAGGGGUGAAAUGCUCUUGACCUAUUCUCAAACUUUAAAUGGGUAAGAGCCCCGAGUUGCUUAAUUGAACUCGGCGGUCGAAUGACGGUUGCUAGUGGGCCAAUCUGGGUAAGCUAGAUUGGCGAUGCGGGAUGCUCCGAACGUUAAGUUAAAGUGCCAAAGUAUCCGCUAACCUAGAUCCCACAAAAGGUGUUGGUUCAUUAAGACAGCAGGACGGUGGCCAUGGAAGUCGGAACCCGCUAAGGAGUGUGUAACAACUCACCUGCCGAAUGAACUAGCCCUGAAAAUGGAUGGCGCUCAAGCGGAUCACUUAUACUUAACCAAUGAGACAAAUACGACGUCUUAUUGAGUAGGGGGGCGUGGAGAUCGCGGUGCAUUCUGUGGCGUGAGCCGGGAUGAAGCGGUCUCUAGUGCAGAUCUUGGUAGCAGUAGCAAAUAUUCAAAUGAGAACUUUGAAGACUGAAGUGGAGAAAGGUUCCAUGUGAACAGUAAUUGGACAUGGGUGAGUCGAUCCUAAGAGAUAGGAAAAUUCUUUUUGAACUGAUGCCUUCUUCGGAUGGUGUCGGCUAUCGAAAGGGAAUCAGGUUAAUAUUCCUGAACCAGAAAGUGGAUAAUGAGUGGUAACACAAACGAAUGUGGGGACGCUGGCGAGAGUCCUGGGUAGAGUUCUCUUUUCUACUUAACAAGCCCCGUUAGACCUUGGAAUCGGAUUGACCGGCGAAAAGGUGUAAUGGUUGGCAAAGCAGUGUCUCUUUUGCACUGUCCGGUGCGCUCUCGACGGCCCUUGAAAACCCACAGGAGUGAUUUAUUCGCACUUCUGGUCGUACUCAUAACCGCCUCAGGUCUCCAAGGUGUGCAGCCUCUAGUCAAUAGAAUAA